This 442-nucleotide ribosomal RNA is filed under the name uncultured bacterium. RNAcentral describes it as "partial 16S ribosomal RNA". It matches the Rfam family "Bacterial small subunit ribosomal RNA", at positions 338 to 795 of the family's 1533-position model. The record is from RNAcentral.
CCUACGGGGGGCAGCAGUGGGGAAUAUUGGGCAAUGGGCGCAAGCCUGACCCAGCAACGCCGCGUGAAGGAAGAAGGCUUUCGGGUUGUAAACUUCCUUUGACAGGGAAGAGUAGAAGACGGUACCUGUCGAAUAAGCUACGGCUAACUACGUGCCAGCAGCCGCGGUAAUACGUAGGUGGCAAGCGUUGUCCGGAUUUACUGGGUGUAAAGGGCGUGUAGCCGGGUUGACAAGUCAGAUGUGAAAUCCUGCGGCUUAACCGCAGAACUGCAGUUGAAACUGUUGAUCUUGAGUACUGGAGAGGCAGACGGAAUUCCUAGUGUAGCGGUGAAAUGCGUAGAUAUUAGGAAGAACACCAGUGGCGAAGGCAGUCUGCUGGACAGCAACUGACGGUGAGGCGCGAAAGCGUGGGGAGCAAACAGGAUUAGAUACCCGAGUAGUC